UUGAAAGAUCAUUCUAAUCAGAGCCUUAGUUAUUACCAUAUUUUAAUAUUAAUUUUAGUGGGGCACCAUCAAAAAAAGGUCCAGCUGUUGAUUACUUGUUGUGUAAAAGUAUAAUUGAAGCUGUAGUUAAGACUGUAUACACUGACAAACCCAAAGAUUUGCUCAACCAGAAAAUAGUUGCAUUUUCAUACUUUUAUGACAGAGCUCAAGAUGCUGAUCUUGUCGGYGAAGAAGGAGGAGAUGUUACUAUUAAAUCAUUUUAUAAAGCAGCAGAGAAAGAAUGUUCUCAAACAAGUUAUAAUGAGUUACGUCCAUUUAAAUGCCUUGAUUUAACCUAUAUUUCUGUAUUAUUGGAACAAGGUUUUGGUUUACCUGUUGACACUUCAGUUUCUUUAUUAAAUACUAUUGAUGGACAUGAAAUAAGCUGGGCGCUCGGAGCAGCUUACCAUAUUUUACAAAAUGGACUUUAACUCAAACUGCCAUUUUUCAAAAAACAAAACAACCAUGGUGAUUGAUGAUCAAAACAUAGUUUAUGUUCUAUUUUCUACUUUGUCAUGUCUAUUGUUUAAUUUUCUGCCAUUCAAACAUAGUGCACUAGUUGAUACUAACUUUUCACACAAAUAUUAGUUUGUAUUUUGKAUUUUUAUUUUUAAUYAUCAAUAUAUUUGUUAUAUUUAUAAAUUAUAUUCCAACGAAUUAUUUGAUUUUAAAUACUUGUAUUGUUAGAUUAAUUUUAAUUUUAUAAUCAUGAAUUCACKMGUGAAUUCAUGAUGAUGAUAUGUAACAGCUAAAAUUUAUGGAUUGUCCACAAACAAAAUAGUUUGCAUUCCAUUGCCAUAAUUAAUGCUACUUAAUUGUCUUUAUUAAAUAAAAUUGUACGGUUGAAUAA
Molecule: long non-coding RNA, 889 nt
Organism: Diuraphis noxia (Russian wheat aphid)
Lineage: Eukaryota; Metazoa; Arthropoda; Insecta; Hemiptera; Aphididae
Gene: NTPase
Source: RefSeq, a predicted model, not a curated record